ACUACGGGUGGCUGCAGUGGGGAAUAUUGGGCAAUGGGCGCAAGCCUGACCCAGCAACGCCGCGUGAAGGAAGAAGGCUUUCGGGUUGUAAACUUCUUUUGUCAGGGAAGAGUAGAAGACGGUACCUGACGAAUAAGCCACGGCUAACUACUUGCCAGCAGCCGCGGUCAUACGGAGGUGGCAGGCGUUGUCCGGAUUUACUGGGUGGAAAGGGCGUGUAGCCGGGUUGACAAGUCAGCUGUGAAAUCCUGCGGCUUAACCGAAGAACUGCAGUUGAAACUGUGGAUCUUGAGUACUGGAGAGGCAGAUGGAAUUCCUAGGGUAGCGGUGAAAUGCGGAGAUAUUAGGAGGAACACCAGUGGCGAAGGCGGUCUGCUGGACAGCAACUGACGGUGAGGCGCGAAAGCGUGGGGAGCAAACAGGAUUAGAUACCCCUGUAGUC
This 442-nucleotide ribosomal RNA is filed under the name uncultured bacterium. RNAcentral describes it as "partial 16S ribosomal RNA". It matches the Rfam family "Bacterial small subunit ribosomal RNA", at positions 338 to 795 of the family's 1533-position model. The record is from RNAcentral.